Molecule: non-coding RNA, 123 nt
Organism: Picea glauca (white spruce)
Lineage: Eukaryota; Viridiplantae; Streptophyta; Pinopsida; Pinales; Pinaceae
Source: Rfam
AUGUACAUUCCUACAACAUAGUGUUAAUGCAGUAUAUCCCUUUAUAACUUCAUAGUUAAGCGUGCUCGGGCUAGAGUAGUACUAGGAUGGGUGACUGCCCGAGAAGUCCUAGUAUUUUACAUG